Molecule: ribosomal RNA, 459 nt
Filed under: uncultured bacterium
Lineage: Bacteria
Description: partial 16S ribosomal RNA
Rfam family: Bacterial small subunit ribosomal RNA
Source: RNAcentral
CCUACGGGUGGCUGCAGUGAGGAAUAUUGGUCAAUGGGCUAAAGCCUGAACCAGCAAAGUCGCGUGAAGGAAGACGGUCCUAUGGAUUGUAAACCUCUUUUGUCGGGGCGCAACGAGGCCACGUGUGGCCGGAAUGAGCGUACCCGCAGAAAAAGCAUCGGCUAACUCCGUGCCAGCAGCCGCGGUAAUACGGAGGAUGCGAGCGUUAUCCGGAUUUAUUGGGGUUAAAGGGUGCGUAGGCGGAACAUUAAGUCAGCGGUAAAAUCGAGGGGUUCAACCCCUUUAAGCCGGUGAAACUGGUGAUCUUGAGUGGGCGAGAGGUAUGCGGAAUGCGUGGUGUAGCGGUGAAAUGCAUAGAUAUCACGGAGAACUCCGAUUGCGAAGGCAGCAUACCGGCGUCCGACUGACGCUGAGGCACGAAAGCGUGGGGAUCGAACAGGAUUAGAUACCCGAGUAGUC